Molecule: ribosomal RNA, 497 nt
Filed under: uncultured bacterium
Lineage: Bacteria
Description: partial 16S ribosomal RNA
Rfam family: Bacterial small subunit ribosomal RNA
Source: RNAcentral
GAUGAACGCUGGCGGCGUGCCUAAUUCAUGCAAGUCGAGCGAACGGACGAGAAGCUUGCUUCUCUGAUGUUAGCGGCGGACGGGUGAGUAACACGUGGAUAACCUACCUAUAAGACUGGGAUAACUUCGGGAAACCGUAGCUAAUACCGGAUAAUAUUUUGAACCGCAUGGUUCAAAAGUGAAAGACGGUCUUGCUGUCACUUAUAGAUGGAUCCGCGCUGCAUUAGCUAGUUGGUAAGGUAACGGCUUACCAAGGCAACGAUGCAUAGCCGACCUGAGAGGGUGAUCGGCCACACUGGAACUGAGACACGGUCCAGACUCCUACGGGAGGCAGCAGUAGGGAAUCUUCCGCAAUGGGCGAAAGCCUGACGGAGCAACUCCGCGUGAGUGAUGAAGGUCUUCGGAUCGUUAAACUCUGUUAUUAGGGAAGAACAUAUGUGUAAGUAACUGUGCACAUCUUGACGGUACCUAAUCAGAAAGCCACGGCUAACUACGUG